Molecule: ribosomal RNA, 253 nt
Filed under: uncultured bacterium
Lineage: Bacteria
Description: partial 16S ribosomal RNA
Rfam family: Bacterial small subunit ribosomal RNA
Source: RNAcentral
UACGUAGGUUGCGAGCGUUGUCCGGAUUUACUGGGCGUAAAGCGCGCGCAGGCGGUCCUGAAAGUCGAGCGUGAAAGCUCCCGGCCCAACUGGGAGAGGCCGUUCGAAACUUCAGGACUUGAAGACGGGAGAGGCAAAUGGAAUUUCCGGUGUAGCGGUAAAAUGCGUAGAUACCGGAAGGAACACCAGUGGCGAAAGCGAUUUGCUGGCCCGUCCUUGACGCUCAGGCGCGAAAGCUAGGGGAGCGACCGGG